GACGAACGCUGGCGGCGUGCUUAACACAUGCAAGUCGAACGGAAAGGCCCUGCUUUUGUGGGGUGCUCGAGUGGCGAACGGGUGAGUAACACGUGAGUAACCUGCCCUUGACUUUGGGAUAACUUCAGGAAACUGGGGCUAAUACCGGAUAGGAGCUCCUGCUGCAUGGUGGGGGUUGGAAAGUUUCGGCGGUUGGGGAUGGACUCGCGGCUUAUCAGCUUGUUGGUGGGGUAGUGGCUUACCAAGGCUUUGACGGGUAGCCGGCCUGAGAGGGUGACCGGCGACAUUGGGACUGAGAUACGGCCCAGACUCCUACGGGAGGCAGCAGUGGGGAAUAUGGCACAAUGGGCGGAAGCCUGAUGCAGCAACGCCGCGUGCGGGAUGACGGCCUGCGGGUUGUAAACCGCUUUCGCCUGUGACGAAGCGUGAGUGACGGUAAUGGGUAAAGAAGCACCGGCUAACUACGUG
Molecule: ribosomal RNA, 468 nt
Filed under: uncultured bacterium
Lineage: Bacteria
Description: partial 16S ribosomal RNA
Rfam family: Bacterial small subunit ribosomal RNA
Source: RNAcentral